CCUACGGGAGGCAGCAGUGAGGAAUAUUGGUCAAUGGGCGAGAGCCUGAACCAGCCAAGUCGCGUGAGGGAGUACUGCCCUAUGGGUUGUAAAUCUCUUUUGUCGGGGAGCAAAAGCCGGACGUGUCCGGCUGUGAGAGUACCCGAAGAAAAAGCAUCGGCUCACUCCGUGCCAGCAGCCGCGGUAAUACGGGGGAUGCGAGCGUUAUCCGGAUUUAUUGGGGUUAAAGGGUGCGCAGGCGGAUUUUUAAGUCAGCGGUCAAAUCGUGGGGCUCAACCCCAUCCAGCCGUUGAAACUGGGGAUCUAGAGUGUGCGAGAGGUAUGCGGAAUGCGUGGUGUAGCGGUGAAAUGCAUAGAUAUCACGCAGAACCCCGAUUGCGAAGGCAGCAUACCGGUGAACAACUGACGCUCAGGCACGAAAGCGUGGGUAUCGAACAGGAUUAGAUACCCCAGUAGUC
This 458-nucleotide ribosomal RNA is filed under the name uncultured bacterium. RNAcentral's name for it is "partial 16S ribosomal RNA". It matches the Rfam family "Bacterial small subunit ribosomal RNA", at positions 338 to 795 of the family's 1533-position model. The record is from RNAcentral.